Molecule: ribosomal RNA, 438 nt
Filed under: uncultured bacterium
Lineage: Bacteria
Description: partial 16S ribosomal RNA
Rfam family: Bacterial small subunit ribosomal RNA
Source: RNAcentral
CUACGGGAUGCUGCAGUGGGGAAUCUUAGACAAUGGGGGAAACCCUGAUCUAGCCAUGCCGCGUGAGCGACGACGGCCCUAGGGUUGUAAAGCUCUUUCAGCAGGGAAGAUAAUGACGGUACCUGCAGAAGAAGUCCCGGCUAACUCCGUGCCAGCAGCCGCGGUAAUACGGAGGGGACUAGCGUUGUUCGGAAUUACUGGGCGUAAAGCGCGCGUAGGCGGAUUGUUAAGUCGGGGGUGAAAUCCCGGGGCUCAACCCCGGAACUGCCCUCGAUACUGGCAGUCUUGAGUUCGAGAGAGGUGAGUGGAAUUCCGAGUGUAGAGGUGAAAUUCGUAGAUAUUCGGAGGAACACCAGUGGCGAAGGCGGCUCACUGGCUCGAUACUGACGCUGAGGUGCGAAAGCGUGGGGAGCAAACAGGAUUAGAUACCGCGUAGUC